RNAcentral lists this ribosomal RNA (253 nucleotides) under uncultured bacterium. RNAcentral describes it as "partial 16S ribosomal RNA". It matches the Rfam family "Bacterial small subunit ribosomal RNA", at positions 524 to 776 of the family's 1533-position model. The record is from RNAcentral.
UACGUAGGGUGCGAGCGUUAAUCGGAAUUACUGGGCGUAAAGUGUGCGUAGGCGGCAGAGCAAGUCGAGUGUGAAAGCCCCGGGCUUAACUUGGGAAUUGCGCUCGAAACUACUUUGCUGGAGUGUGGCAGAGGAAGGUGGAAUUCCACGUGUAGCGGUGAAAUGCGUAGAGAUGUGGAGGAACACCACUGGCGAAGGCAGCCUUCUGGGCCAACACUGACGCUCAUGCACGAAAGCGUGGGGAGCAAACAGG